AGACCCGACGCGACUGACAGAUAA
This 24-nucleotide microRNA is filed under the name Moringa oleifera (horseradish tree). RNAcentral describes it as "rgl-miR5141". RNAcentral also lists the same sequence under 1 other name. Lineage: Eukaryota; Viridiplantae; Streptophyta; Magnoliopsida; Brassicales; Moringaceae. The record is from RNAcentral.